UGGGGAAUAUUGCGCAAUGGGGGCAACCCUGACGCAGCAACGCCGCGUGAAGGAAGAAGGUUUUCGGAUUGUAAACUGCUUUAGACAGGGAAGAAAAAGGACAGUACCUGUAGAAUAAGCUCCGGCUAACUACGUGCCAGCAGCCGCGGUAAUACGUAGGGAGCAAGCGUUAUCCGGAUUUAUUGGGUGUAAAGGGUGCGUAGACGGGAAGUCAAGUUAGUUGUGAAAUCCCUCGGCUCAACUGAGGAACUGCAACUAAACUAACUUUCUUGAGUGCUGGAGAGGAAAGUGGAAUUCCUAGUGUAGCGGUGAAAUGCGUAGAUAUUAGGAGGAACACCAGUGGCGAAGGCGACUUUCUGGACAGUAACUGACGUUGAGGCACGAAAGUGUGGGGAGCAAACAGGAUUAGAUACCC
RNAcentral lists this ribosomal RNA (415 nucleotides) under uncultured bacterium. Its description in RNAcentral is "bacterial SSU rRNA". It matches the Rfam family "Bacterial small subunit ribosomal RNA", at positions 355 to 787 of the family's 1533-position model. The record is from RNAcentral.